UUGUUGAGCCUUUUUAGGCUUUUCUAAUUGACUCAAAAGUUACCAAGCCACAAUCAAUAUGAAAUAAUGAACUAUGUAUACUAUAUAUUAGAUAUACCCCUUAUUUCAAAGUCAAUGGGAGUAAGAAUAAAGAUAACUUAUUUUCUUGUAGUGUCAAUUUUAAGUUCUCCUUUUCUUUAUUUUAAUGACAUCAAUAGUUAUAUUUUAACUUCUUUUUUUUUUGGUCAAGAGUUAUAUUUUAACUUUAAAUAUAGAACACUUGAUACUCACUAUGCCUCACAUGAAAUAACUUAGUUACUUUCACAUGUUCAGCUUCUCAUUAGAACACAUACUAGCAUUGUUCUAGUACUCAAGAAGAGUUGAAGCACUUGAUUUGCUCAUUACUUGUUUUAUGGGAUGCUCUUUAGUUACUAAUUGAUUACCACAAAAAUGUAAGUUGUAAUUGUUGUGGAUGAAAAAUACUUUAUAAAAUUGACACUAUUUUAUGAUUCUAGACUUUUGUUGAAGUUAGGAGGCUCAUGUUGGAUACUUGUUGCACUGAAUUUUUUUUUUCUUCUGGUGGUGUCAAUUAUAGUUAGAAAUUUAGCCUGGUGCAGUGUAUUUAUAUUGUAACAUUGUAUUCCUGCAUACUGUUGUCAUUGUUGUGGAUGAGAAGUACUUUAUUAAAUUGACAUUACUUUAUGAUGUUAGGUUUUUGUCAAGGUUAGGAUGCUCAUGUUGGAUAGAACUCCUUGUUCAAGUCAUUCAAAGCAUUAAAGCUCUAUCAACGUCAAUAUGUUCCAGCUGUAAAACAAGGUAGUCACAUCAAGUGAGAAGUU
This 818-nucleotide long non-coding RNA is filed under the name Trifolium pratense (red clover). RNAcentral describes it as "long non-coding RNA (TPRA_LNC008801)". Lineage: Eukaryota; Viridiplantae; Streptophyta; Magnoliopsida; Fabales; Fabaceae. The record is from RNAcentral.